GGGGAAUAUUGCGCAAUGGGGGAAACCCUGACGCAGCAAUACCGCGUGAGUGAAGAAGGUUUUCGGAUCGUAAAGCUCUGUUAUUGGGGAAGAAAAAAAGACGGUACCCAAGAAGAAAGUCCCGGCUAACUACGUGCCAGCAGCCGCGGUAAUACGUAGGGGACAAGCGUUGUCCGGAUUUACUGGGCGUAAAGGGCACGCAGGCGGUUUUUUAAGUCAGAUGUGAAAGGUACCGGCUCAACCGGUGACAUGCAUUUGAAACUACAUAACUUGAGUGCAGGAGAGGUAAGUGGAAUUCCUAGUGUAGCGGUGGAAUGCGUAGAUAUUAGGAGGAACACCGGUGGCGAAGGCGACUUACUGGACUGUAACUGACGCUGAGACACGAAAGCGUGGGGAGCGAACA
Molecule: ribosomal RNA, 403 nt
Filed under: uncultured Acetobacterium sp.
Lineage: Bacteria; Bacillati; Bacillota; Clostridia; Eubacteriales; Eubacteriaceae
Description: bacterial SSU rRNA
Rfam family: Bacterial small subunit ribosomal RNA
Source: RNAcentral